GAACGAGGGCGUGUCACAACUCAUUCGGUCCCGCUGCCUAGAUGGGCGAGCCAACCAGAAGCGUGCUGCUGCCCUUUUCACUGCCACUAUGCGGCAGGUUCCAGGUUCUUGUUCUGUGACCAGAAGAAUGAGGUACGUGGACACCGGGAUCAUAAGACAAGAAAUAUAUAAACAAAAAAUGAAACCAUGAAAAUAGAAGCAUUUAUAGAAGCUGCACUACAGCAUCUAAUCAGGAGGGUUUUUUUCCAAGCAUCAGUGACAGUGCUGGACUACACAGUGGAGGAACCUCGAAAACAUUUUGCUAAGUAAAAGAAGCUGGACAAAAAAUGGUCACAUGCUGUGUGAUUCCAUUUAUAUAAAAUAUCCAGCAUAGGGGAAAUCUAUAAAGAUAGAAAAUUGAUGCUUGACAGGGGCUGGGGAAACGGAGAUUGUGGAAUAAAUGCUUGAUACGCAUGGGAUUUCUAGAGAGGUGGUGAUUGUACAACAUUGUGAAUCUACAGAAUGUCACUGAAUGGUUCACUUUAAAAUGGUUAAGACAAGUUGCAAUGUUCCCCAAGCUGAUC
This 563-nucleotide long non-coding RNA is filed under the name Homo sapiens (human). RNAcentral's name for it is "HSALNT0081427". Lineage: Eukaryota; Metazoa; Chordata; Mammalia; Primates; Hominidae. The record is from RNAcentral.